Molecule: microRNA precursor, 84 nt
Filed under: Bombyx mori (domestic silkworm)
Lineage: Eukaryota; Metazoa; Arthropoda; Insecta; Lepidoptera; Bombycidae
Description: mir-2807 microRNA precursor family
Rfam family: mir-2807 microRNA precursor family
Source: Rfam by way of RNAcentral
UUAACUUUAAUUUGUAUGCAGUUGGAACAGCGCCCCUAGCGGCAAACGUAGGCAAACGUUCCAACUCCAUACAAAUUUGAGUUA